GAUGAACGCUAGCGGCAGGCCUAAUACAUGCAAGACUAGGGGGCAGCAAUGUCACCGUCGCACGGGUGCGUAACGCGUAUGCAACCUACCUAUCACAGGGGGAUAGCCUUUGGAAACAGGGAUUAAUACCGCAUAAAGCAGGGGCUCCGCAUGGAGAUAUUGCUAAAGAUUUAUCGGUGAUAGAUGGGCAUGCGUCUGAUUAGUUAGAUGGUAGGGUAACGGCCUACCAUGGCGAUGAUCAGUAGGGGGCGUCAGAGCGUGGUCCCCCACACUGGCACUGAGAUACGGGCCAGACUCCUACGGGAGGCAGCAGUAGGGAAUAUUGGGCAAUGGGCGGAAGCCUGACCCAGCCACGCCGCGUGCAGGAAGACGGCCCUCUGGGUUGUAAACUGCUUUAACUGGGAAGAAAGAGGCUUUGCGAAGCAAGUUGACGGUACCAGUUGAAUAAGCCACGGCUAACUACGUG
RNAcentral lists this ribosomal RNA (466 nucleotides) under uncultured bacterium. Its description in RNAcentral is "bacterial SSU rRNA". It matches the Rfam family "Bacterial small subunit ribosomal RNA", at positions 28 to 507 of the family's 1533-position model. The record is from RNAcentral.